CCUACGGGAGGCAGCAGUGGGGAAUCUUGCGCAAUGGGCGAAAGCCUGACGCAGCAACGCCGCGUGCGGGAAGAAGGCUUUCGGGCUGUAAACCGCUUUCAGCAGGAACGAAAAUGACGGUACCUGCAGAAGAAGGAGCGGCCAACUAUGUGCCAGCAGCCGCGGUGAUACAUAGGCUUCAAGCGUUGUCCGGAUUUAUUGGGCGUAAAGAGUUCGUAGGCGGUCAAGUAAGUCGGGUGUGAAAAUUCUGGGCUCAACCCAGAGACGCCACCCGAUACUGCUUAACUUGAGUUCGAUAGGGGAGUGGGGAAUUCCUAGUGUAGCGGUGAAAUGCGCAGAUAUUAGGAGGAACACCGGUGGCGAAGGCGCCACUCUGGAUCGAUACUGACGCUGAGGAACGAAAGCAUGGGUAGCAAACAGGAUUAGAUACCCUAGGUAGUCCGAUGCCGUAAACGGUGGGCACUAGGUGUGGGUUUCUAUUAACGAAAUCCGCGCCGUCGCUAACGCAUUAAGUGCCCCGCCUGGGGAGUACGGUCGCAAGCUAAAACGUCAAAGAUAGUAAGGCGUGNGAGUAGUUCGACGACGACGACGAGGAGGAGG
RNAcentral lists this ribosomal RNA (600 nucleotides) under uncultured bacterium. Its description in RNAcentral is "bacterial SSU rRNA". It matches the Rfam family "Bacterial small subunit ribosomal RNA", at positions 338 to 956 of the family's 1533-position model. The record is from RNAcentral.